UACAUCGAAGAGGUUGCAGAUGAUAUUAGUAAUUGUUGUGAGAUGAUAAGGCAUCGAUGAUCAACAGUGAAAGGAGAUUUUGCCGAAGUUUAACUUAGCCUGAGUAAGUUGAACUGGGGUCUGGCUGAAAAAGUCAGAAACUGUCGCAAUCAGAUUUGCGGAGCGCUAUCGAGUUU
This 176-nucleotide non-coding RNA is filed under the name Liquorilactobacillus ghanensis. RNAcentral describes it as "Lactobacillus ghanensis Lysine sequence". It matches the Rfam family "Lysine riboswitch aptamer". Rfam says of the family: Riboswitches are metabolite binding domains within certain messenger RNAs that serve as precision sensors for their corresponding targets. The record is from RNAcentral. Lineage: Bacteria; Bacillati; Bacillota; Bacilli; Lactobacillales; Lactobacillaceae.